UCGACUUCGGGAGGGGUGUAUUUAUUAGAUAAAAAACCAAUGCCCUUCGGGGCUCCUUGGUGAUUCAUAAUAACCUAACGAAUCGCAUGGCCUUGUGCCGGCGAUGGUUCAUUCAAAUUUCUGCCCUAUCAACUUUCGAUGGUAGGAUAGUGGCCUACCAUGGUGUCUACGGGUAACGGGGAAUUAGGGUUCUAUUCCGGAGAGGGAGCCUGAGAAACGGCUACCACAUCCAAGGAAGGCAGCAGGCGCGCAAAUUACCCAAUCCCAAUACGGGGAGGUAGUGACAAUAAAUACUGAUACAGGGCUCUUUCGGGUCUUGUAAUUGGAAUGAGUACAAUUUAAAUCCCUUAACGAGGAACAAUUGGAGGGCAAGUCUGGUGAACUAUUGCAGGUUCUUGACAGUGCUGCUGACGCCAGAAAAAGUAGAGAGUCCUUUAUCACAGGUCUCAUCUGCUAUGUGGGUUCGUUUCCUCUCACCGAGAGCGUGCUCGCGAGACAGCCUUGUUCGGGGAAAGCCUGGUGUGUCAACACCGCGUGAACCCCGAGCGGAGUGACAAGAGAGUGAUCUCUAAUUCUCAUCCGUGUAGAGCGCGGAAAGGUGUCGGCCCCUACGAACGUGACGGGGGCUUGAGGGACGUGCCAUAAUACUACUACUGUCUGCGGGAAAUCGGAUAUUGAAUUUACACGUCAGAGGUGAUCGACCGGUGUGCUAGAACGGAACCCUGACUGCUCGGGCAGGCGGGUGCGUUGGGGCUUGUCGAGCUCCCUUCUCGAUCAGCACAUCGCUCAGGGCGACUUCAACGGUUGAGUGGCCCUGGACGAUGGAAUCCGGUAUCCUAUUUUGCCGCAUUAAUUUACUGCGUAUUGAAACGGCCAGCAGCCGCGGUAAUUCCAGCUCCAAUAGCGUAUAUUAAAGUUGUUGCAGUUAAAAAGCUCGUAGUUGAACUUUGGGUCUGGCUGAUCUGUCCUCCUAAUCGAGCGCACGGAUUCGGUCGGACCUUUCCUUCUGGGGAGCCCUAUGCCCUUUACUGGGCGUAGCGGGGAACCAGGACUUUUACCUUGAAAAAAUUAGAGUGUUCAAAGCAGGCCUUUGCUCGAAUACAUUAGCAUGGAAUAAUAGAAUAGGACAUCGGUUCUAUUUUGUUGGUUUCUAGGACCGCUGUAAUGAUUAAUAGGGAUAGUCGGGGGCGUCAGUAUUCAAUUGUCAGAGGUGAAAUUCUUGGAUUUAUUGAAGACUAACUACUGCGAAAGCAUUCGCCAAGGAUGUUUUCAUUAAUCAGUGAACGAAAGUUAGGGGAUCGAAGACGAUCAGAUACCGUCGUA
RNAcentral lists this ribosomal RNA (1323 nucleotides) under Muellerella sp. (in: ascomycete fungi). Its description in RNAcentral is "SSU rRNA". It matches the Rfam family "Eukaryotic small subunit ribosomal RNA", at positions 183 to 1022 of the family's 1831-position model. The record is from RNAcentral. Lineage: Eukaryota; Fungi; Ascomycota; Eurotiomycetes; Verrucariales; Verrucariaceae.